Molecule: non-coding RNA, 13807 nt
Organism: Oryctolagus cuniculus (rabbit)
Lineage: Eukaryota; Metazoa; Chordata; Mammalia; Lagomorpha; Leporidae
Source: RefSeq, a predicted model, not a curated record
AGAGAAGGGAAGACUUAUAUCCCGAGAGUAUAUUGGCUCUCCUGCACCAAUGUAGGGCCAAGAUAGGAGAGGACUGAAAUUUGGAUGCAUGGGUUGGAACUAUCUGAGCAAACAAAGCUGUCAACAUUUCAAAUCCACAACUCUCUUAAAUCUACUGGUUUGCAGAAGUGACAUAUUGUCUCCUCUUAGAAGUUAGAGGCUCUACUUAGCUUGAAAAUCAUACAAAAACCUCAUUGGUGAGGGCAAUACUCACCUCUCACUGCUCCUUAAGACCUACCCUGUCAGUGCUGGCAUUGUGGUAUAACAGGAUAGGCUGCUCCCUGCAAUGCCACCAAAUGGGUGCUGGUUCGAGUCUUGGCUGCUCCACUUUCUACUCAGCCCCCUGAUAAUGUGCCUGGGUAGUAUAUGCAGUGGAAGCAGUGGAAAAUAGCCCAACUCCUUGGGCCUGUGCAGCCACAUAGCCACAUAGGAGACCCAGAUGAAGCUCCUGGCUCUUGGCUUCCACUUGGCCCAGCCUUGGCCAUUAGAGCCGUUUGGGGAGUGAACCAGUAGAUGGAAGAUUCUCUCUCUCUCUCUCUCUCUCUCUCUCCCUCUCUCUCCCUCUCUCUCCCUCUCUCUCUCUCUGUAAUUCUGCCUUUCAAAUAAAUAAAUCUUAAAAAACCUACCCUCUCUUCCUUUCCUGGCAGUCAGACAAAUGACAACAGUCAAAACCCAGAAUAUACUAGAGCUGUGAAGGAAAGAGAGAGAGAUUAAGUACUAGAUGCAGGUUCUAGUUUGUAUGUGUCAGCAGGAGUGGGAAAAGUCUGCAUGAACCAGUAUCUUCAGGGUUCUAUAUUAAGGAAUGGCAGAGCAUAAGUUGGUAAGAGAGAUCUAUUGAUAUAGGAACACUCUCUUGUGACAUGUAAUUAAACACCCUUCAAGGACUCUGCCUACAGUAAUAAUACACUGCUAUGAUGCCUCUUAGAAGCUUGGGUAAUGUGAUGGUCCACAUCAAGUAGGAAUUGAGUUUUUUCUGCCAAAUGUUUUAGGAAAGGAUCAAAAGUCUCAGAGUAUCAAGCAUGCUAGAGUGAGUAACUACAUAAGGCUAAACCUCAUGAGUUGACUCUAUUUUACUGGAAGGCCAAGUGGACCUCGUAUGUACUUAUGAGGUAUGUGCCUGAGAGAGGAGUGGCAGCAACAUUGGGAAGAUCAGUGGUGCCUAAUGUGUGUUAGCCAGGAUUGAUGACUGGAGAUGCUAUUAGAAUGCUGGACUGUUUUACUAUAAUGGAGCUGAUAGAGCUGAUAGACAUAAGGCCAGGUGAUAGAGGCCAGGUGACAGUGUCCAAUAAUCAGGAGCAGGUAUUUAGUUACUACAUGGAGUGUCAAGAUCGAAGUGGAUGCUACAGGGGUCAAACCUUCAGAGAGCUAUAGAGAUGACAGUCGGAGUCUGAUGAUAGCUGUCUUAAUGAUAAGUCUCUAGACCUGAUCCAGGCCUUAGAUCUGCAAGCCACUGACUGAAAGAUAUUAUAUCCAUAUGUAGAAGAAAUAUGCAAUACUGUCUACAACAUUUGUAUUUAGUAGUAACUCCUUCAUUCUUUCCUCUAAAGGUACCUAUGACAGUUUACUUGAAUGCAUUGGGAAAAAUGGAAUACAUAGCCUUUCAAAACUGACAGUGUUGGGGUCUGAAUUCACAUUUAUCUAUGAUCUGUUAUGACUCUCCAUUUGAGUGGGAAUCCUUAGAGGCUGGUAGUAAAGAACACGCUGACCCAGGUCCACUCAUAGUCCCUUCAGUUCACGGUCCUACUGAAUGGCCAUUUUCCUGGUCCCUAAAUGUGUCAUUGGAGUGAACCUACUUUGUAGAAAUAUCCUCAUUCUGGUUUAUUGGCUUGUGCGUAUGAGCUGUUAGAGUUGUAAGUGCCUAGUAGAAACCUCUGAAACUGCCUUCCUACGACCCAUCCUGCAGCAAAAGUUGAUAAACCAAAAUCAACAGUAUAUCCCAGGGAAAAAAGAAGAUAUUACUGAUACACUUAAUGAUAUACAGAAUGGAUAAGUAGUAUGGCCUCUGAUAUUUAAGUUAAUUUAUCUUUCUUCCAUUGGAUGAAUUGACCAUGUUGUAGCCUCUUGCAGCAGCCUCUUAUAGCAGCCUUGUGUAGCAUCUUUGCUGGAGUAAAUUAGUCUGAUGUGCAAUGGCUGAUAAAUACAUUCUUUUCUGGUUAUCAGAAAAGAGUGUUUUUUGCAGUUCCCACUCACUGGAAUAAACAAUGAUAUACAUUUACAGUCUUGCCUCAGGGCUAUGUUAAUUCUCUUACUCUCUAUAUGAAAGAAGCUGAACUUUCUGAACAUUCCUCUUGGCUUUCUAUAUUGACAUCCUGCUGAUUAGCAGGGAAUUAGCAGGAAAUGCAAGUAUGUUAGAGGUCUUGAUAAGACACCCUAGAAUGUGGGAGAUAAAUACUAUGAAUAUUCAGGGAGUAAUUAGAUUAACAAUACUUUUAGGAAUUCAGGGUUCUAGGGUAUUUUGGAGGUAUGUCCUUUGAAUUAAUGACAAAUUGUUUCAUCUUACUCCUCCUUUCAUUAGAAAGAAACAUAGUACAUGAUAUACCUCUUGGGAUUCUGAAAGCUACAUAUUUAACACUCGGGAUAUUUUUCAGACCCAUUUAUUGAAUAAUAAUAUGGGUGGUUGAUUUGAGUAAGGCCUAGAGCAGGAAAGAGCUCUACAGUGGGGCAUGCAAUUUAACAGACUCUACGAUGUCAGUGUUAUCUGUUGUGGGAAAGGAAACUCUGGGGUGUUUAUAGCCAUGUCCAAUAGGAAAAUCACAAUGUAUACUCCCAGAUUUUAGAGUAAGGCUUUGCCACAUAGCAUUCAAAAACUUCUUCUUAGGUGAACAUUUAGCAUAGUUAUUAAGAUACUGUUCCACAUAGGAGUACCUGGGUUUGACUCCUGGCUCCUAAUUCUACCUUCCUGCUAAUGCAGUCUCUGGGAGGCAACAAAAUGACCCAAGUAAUUGGUUCUUGCCACUCACAUGGGAAACCUGGUUUAUGUUCCUGGCUCCUGAUUCAGCCUGGUCCAGUCUUGGCCACUGUGGGCAUUUGAGGAGUCUCUCUCUCUCUCUCUUUCUCUCUCUCUGCCUUUUUAAAAAAAGUACUGCCUCACCUGCUAACACAUUUUGGUAGAGAUGAAGCAGCUGAGCAUAUGAAAUCAAGUGACCGUGUAGCUACUCACUGUAACUUGUUCUGUCAACAUCGUUGUUGAAUCACUAUGUCUCUCACAGCUCUCAUUUAGGGCUGGAUUGGAAUGAGGGAAGCUUAUGACCAAAUGGGAGGAGAAAAGAAUGCUGAGUGUAAUCAUGGGUAUUCUUGUGUUUGUUGAUGCAAACAAAAAUGUUACAGCACUCCAAACACACUUAGGAAUUCCCUGAAAGAUAUGGGAAAUAUAAGAGAAAAAUUCUCCUAAUGGGCAGGAUAGAGAAGUGGUCUGAAGUGAGAAUGUACUUAGACCACUGGACAGUAGUGCAUAGCAAAGUUUGGAAGAUUGUGGACAAAGGAGGUCUUGGAAGAGAACCAUGGGUGGAAUUGUGGGAAUGCUUACAAACUGCAAGGUCUCUGUAUUAAUGCCUAUUUGGUGCACCAACCAUGGGAGAGGCAUUACACAAUCCGGUAAACAGAAUGGCUCAGUCAGUUGACGCUGGUCACUAUCUAGCACAGUAAUGGCAUGGUGAUAAUGUGAAUAGAGAAGUCAUGGUGGCAGGGAUAGGUACUAUUACAAGACUCCCUCUCCUACUUAUCAAGCCUGAUCUAGUCACUAAUGCUACUGAAUGCCAAACAUGCCAGCAACAAAGACUAGGACUGAGAGCCAACAGAAUACUAUUCCUGGAGGAGAACAAUUAGCCUCUUGGUGAAUGGUUGGUUGCUUUGGACUUCUUUUUUAAGAUUUUAUUUGGUCUGCUGGUUCACUCCCAAAUGGCUGCAAUGGCUAGGGCUGGGCCAGGCCGGAGCCAGGAGCUAUGUGGUUCAUCUGGAUCUCCCAUGUGGGUCACCAUUUUCAGCUGCUUUCCCAGGCACAUUAGUAGGGAGAUAGAUUGGAAGUGGAGCAGCCAGGACUUGAACCAGUGCCCAUGUGGGAUUCCAGCAUUGCAGGUGGCAGCUUACCCCAUUAAGCCAUAAUGUCUACCCUUACUUUGGACUUCUUUCACUUCAGAAAAGGAAGCUAUCCAUCUCUACAGUUAUCUAUACACAUUUAAGAUAUGAGUUUGCCUUUCCUGUCCACAGAGCCUAUGCUCAGCGCCACUAUCUGAAGACUUAACAGAAGGUUUGAUUGAUCAACACAGGGUACAGCACAGCAUUACCUUGGACCAAUACACCUGCUCUAUAGCAAAGGAUGUGCAGCACUGUACUCAUGAUUAUUGCUCCACUUGUCUUGUGGCACAUAGAAGUAGCAUGCUUGAUAGAGUGGUGUGAUGGCCUUUUAGUUACAUAAAUGAGGUGCAACUGAGAGAUAAUAUCUUCUGAUGAUAAAGCCUCUAAAAUGUGGAUUACACCAUCAGCUUUAGUCUCUGGGUCCAAAGGUCCUGGGUCCACAAGGAGAAUACUUCCACCAGGGAAAAAUAGGAGCACCACAGACUUGAAAAUGUGGCUUCCAUAUGGUCACCUCAGGCCUCUGCCAAGAGACCAACAGGAAAGGAAUCUCCAUACUGACAGGAGUAAUUGCCUUCAUCAUUAGCAAGAGGCAGGGCCGCUGCUAUGCAGUGGCACAGGAAACAUUACAGCGCUUACACAUCCAGCCUCAACAGUGAGCAGACAUGUCUGCUAGCUGUGGCCCAUCAAUGCAUGGUGACCAGGGAUAACUGUUUGGGUCACUGUACUAGGGGAGCUGGCUAAGUCAGCAACAUUACUAGCUGAGAACAAGGGGAAUCUAGAAUGGGAUGUGGAGGAGGAGGAGGAUGCUCAGCUAUAUAGCUUUGAGGUCGGCUGCUCCAUCAGUGGUUUGGUUCAUUUCCCUACCCCUUCUGAAAGGUCCCUGGGAACAAAAUCAGCCAGAGAAGCUGUUUCCAGAGGGAGAAAACUCAUCUAGCCUUUCCCUACGCCCAGGAUAUUUCAUCCCUGUAGAUGAUGUCUGCUGAGGGCUGACAUCUGUGCCCUUACCAGAUUUACCCUUGACAGCAUGGAACUAUCUAAUUCAAGGUUAUAUUCUCUCCUCAAGGUAUUGUCUGGCUUAUGUGGAAAUGCAAAAUCCUGCCCUAACCCUCAGUUUGGGAUAACUGGAAGGUAUUUCAGCUGCAAAGCUUCCUGUGUAAUAAGCUAAGGCCUCAGUUACUAUGUUAUUGCAGGUACUGCCUCUACCAGUGUUUGGAGUACAGCAGCUUGCAUCAAAGCUGAAUGCCUGUCUAUAGUAUUGAAACAUCUUUAUUCAGCCAGAAAAUUAACCAGACAACAUUCCAGUGUUGAAGGUGAAGACAAGGUAGGAAAAGAGAGUGCCUAACCCUGCAAACCACAGUCUUUUCUCUUACAAUAGCAAGCCGUUGCCUUACGCCAUGAGGGCUAGAGCUCUUAGACGGCAGCCUGCUUGGUCAUUUCUUUUUGUCCCACCCAGAAUCCCGAGUUUAACAGAAAAGUAAAUGUGCUGAAGAAAGAGACAGGAUCAUCUUUCAGAGUUAUGAAGGUAUUUUUUUAAAGGUUGUGAAAAAUGGAGUGAAAAGAUAAGUUUAUGUUGGUGCCAAAAAUUAUUGACAGGCAUGCAGUUCUUUUAUGAUACGCAUUUUCAUGGACUUUUUGAAGAAUCCUCAUAUACAAGGAUUUGAAAGUACCCAAAUAAACUUCCCUUUUAACUCCAUUUUUAUGCAAUUUUUGAAGUUACAUCUAUCAGUGAAGCCCCUAACCCCAAGCUUCGGAUCUUUAUCACACUCUCUGGCCACUACAUUGUCCUGCCUGGAACCCACAUGGACCCAGGUAUAGACUGCUGAUUUGUCACCAGACUGCUAAUGAAUCCUAGUCUUCCAGAGUCUUCUAAAAAUACUAGAUCUGGUCCUUUAAGAACCUGAAUUGGCUCUCUCCAAUCAAGACAAGAGUCUACUUAUUCCGCGGAAGCAGUAAUUCAGUUAUAGUUGUUCUGGUGGCCUAAAAAAGUCAGUGUUGCUUCCAGAGGUGCCUGAUUUACUCCCGGAAUGUGCCUGAUUUAUUCCUGGGAAAAUCUGAUUGGUGCUCUUUUGUACUGUGAAGCUUAGAAACAGGUCACAAAUUGAGAAUUCAGUGCAUGACCUCGGAAUAUGUGUCAAAGAUACAACAUCACUAAAAAUGGAACUACAAAAACCUCCACAGUCCAGAAGUGAUUUUGGGGUACAUUUUUCUUGGUUAGUUUUGUAAGCCUUGAUAUAGGGGACAGAGUUUCUCUAAGUGAGGCUGUAGCAUGCAUAACAAUUCAUUCCCACAAUAUCUAAUGUAACUCAAUUGCUGUGUGACAGUUGCUAAAGAAAGAAUGGGUAGAAAUGACCCACACACCGGAGAGCUCUUUCUUCUGGAGCUCGGCCCCUUCCCCUUCACUCACUUUCUUGCUUUCCAUCUGUCCAGGGAAUAUGUAAAGGCUUGGAGUGCAAUGUGUAUUGUCACUCAAGUGGGGAAUGUGUUCAUGCUCACCUUGAUAGUAGUGAUUAGCAGCACAAAGCAGCGGUGGCAGCUGAAAUGGUUGGCAGUGGUGUCUUCCCCUUGGGACUCUCUAUCCUUCAAGCCCCUAUAUCCCCCACAGUCCUUACUCCUCCAUCCUGUAACCUUGAUUUAAGUAUCUGGGAGCUUUUGUUAGUUAACAGACAGUGGAUUCAGAAUCAGGCAUUGUAGAAAAACAUGGGAAAGAAGUAGAAUGUCAGGUCUCAGUGCUCAGAAUGCCUAAAAUCAAGACUCUGUAUCUUAUAAUCUUCUCUUCCUUUCUUUUUUUAAAGAUUUAUUUAUUAAUUUUUGAGAGCCAGGGUUACAGACAGAAGGAGAGACAGAGAGGUCUUCCAUCUGCUGGUUUACUUCCCAAAUGGUUGCAACAGGCAGAACUGUGCCUAUCUAAAGCCAGGAGCCAGGAGUUUCUGGGUCUCCCAUAUAGGUGCAGGGGCCCACACACUUGGGUCAUUCUCUUGUGCAGAGAGUUGGAUCAGAAGAGGAGCAGCUGGACACAAACAGAUGCCCAUAAGGGAUGCUGGCUUAGCCAGCACUGGUCAUGUUCUGUCUCUUUCCUUUGAAGAUUUUAAACAUGGCCACUCAAUUGACCUCUCUUUUUGAAUCUGCCUUGGGGGACAAUUAGAUGAUCACAUUUUGUAUCUCAUUAGGAAAAUAUGCACAGGCUUAAGAACUUUCAAAAGUGUUAAUUAGUGGCAGCCAUAUUUGGAUCAGGUAGAAUCUCAUACUGCUAUAGACUGAGGCCUAGGACAACAAAGAAUUUUGACCAGACUGGUCAAUGAAGGGAGCUGGUAACUUUUUAUUUUUAAUUUGGAAAACCCCAAAUUAAAUUCUUCUUGCUUUGUCACUAAGCUAUUUGCUGACAAAUUAGAUUUCUUUCUUUCAAAAGAGUUUAUUGAUUUUUUUCAUCUACUUGAAAGGCAAGGUGACAGAGAUAGACACACACACACACACACAGAAAGUAAGAGCACAUGCGUGUGCGAGAGAGCACGCUUCCAUACACUAGUCUGCAAAUCAAGGCUGGGUUAGGUUGAAUCCAGGAGCCUGGAACUCCAUCUGGGUCUCCCAUGCGGGUGGCAGGGUCCCAAGUACUUGAGCCCAUCCACUGCCUCUCAUGAUGCAUUAGCAGAAAGCUAUAUUGGAAGUAGGGUUCUAAGGUCUCAAAGCAUUACUCCAAAAUGGGAUGUGGGUAUCCCAAGUGGAAGCUUAACACACUGUGCCACAAUGCCUGCCCUAACAAAUUGGAUUUCUGAGCUAGAUAGUGCUACAUUUGGGGCAUCCAACAGUGUUUAAAUGUUUAGUGAUCUGGAAUUCCAUGCCAUAGAUCUGCUCCACUACCUGGGAUGCUAGGGUGGUAGGAUCUGGGACAUGUGGGAUCAGGUGUGCUGAGCAGGGCUCUUAGUUGAGGAUGUUUUCUCUGGCCCUUAAACUACCUCAGGAUUACAUAAACCACAAGGUUCCUGUCUCAUGCUCUGUUAACUGGACAAUGUAUAUAUGUGAGCAUUGUCUAUACUUGUCACUAUUUUUUCCCAUGGCUUCUUUGAACUUAGACACCAUCUUUCAGGGAGCAGUGCUUUAUCUAGACUUGCAAAAGAAAUCUUUGCUUUGCCCUAUAUCCUGAGAAAGUCAAGAGAAGAUUCAGAUAACCCUUUGAUUUCUUUAUGGUGCUUGGCAUGUAGUAGUUGCUCAAAAAUGUAUUUGUUGUGGUGAACAUCUGGGGCCUAGCAGUUAAGCUGCCAGCUGAGACACCUGUAUCCCAUAUCCAAGUGCCUGGGUUUGAGCCCCAGCUCUGUGCUGGAUUUCAGCUUCCUGCUAACACACAUUAUGGGAGAUAGUAGGUGAUGGCUCAUGUAAUUAGGAGACCCAGAUUGGGUUCCUGGCAACUGGCUCUGGCCUUGGCUCAAUUCAAAAUCUUGUAGACAGUUGGGGAGUGAACCAGCAGAUGGAAGCUGUCUCCAUCUUUCUCUCUGUUUCUCUGCCUCUCAAAUCAAUAAUAUCAAUAAAUAAUGUAUUUGUUGAUUAAACUAAUCAUUAAUGCUUCAAAUAAAAGCUAGAGAAACAAACUAAUUUUUAUAGCUCUAAGACAGUCUCCCCUCCUUCAAAUGAGCAGAAAAUCAGUCUCCAUUUAUUUUAAUCCUCUGCAACCAUUUUUCUUUUUUACUGACACUUGCUGGUUAGUAACUAUGCUUUGAAUUAGUGAGGAGACGGGUGCAGGGAUGGGUGAGUCCUGCCACAUUUGGGUUUGUUGAAAUAUUGUAAAUGGCUUUGAGUUCAGAAAAACCCAGAGCAUGUUUGGCAAAGCCCUUUCCCCUCAAUGUUUUAAGAGCAUGUGGACUUAGAUGGAAAUUUAAUCUGCAUGUUCAUUUACACGUAACUCAUCAAAACAUUUUAAAUGGCCUUUGAAGUCUGCAGAGCCUUUUCAAUACUUUUUAUGGAAACUUUUCAAGUGUCUUUGGGGUUUUCAUGGGAAGCUGUGUUUGGCUAAGUCCAAACACACUAGAUACUGGACCCCUUUUACACUCCCUUAAUAGUUCAUAUUGAUCUCAAAAUCAUCCUCUAUGUUCUUAUGGAUUUUGUUACUAUGCCAACUAAUGCCUGCAUUUCUUAAUUGAUGUUGUUCAUUAAACUUUAUGGAGAAAAAGAGAAAUAGUUGAAAUUUGCAAAGAACAAAAACAUUGUCAGCCUUGGAUGGAAAAAAGCUGGGCAGAGUCAAACUUUGAUGGUGUGCUCAUGGAGGAUGAAGGUGCCAUGGGCAAUUCAAACUGGCCCAAAUUAUUACCAUUUGGUUUGGGAAUGACUAGUAUCUCUAUUUGUUGAUGAAACUCAGGAUGUCAGAAACAUUUGUUGAGCUUUAGUUAAGUCCAUAAAAUAUUGACAAAUUUGUGGGUAAAGGGUUGCAUGAUCCUAUUUGAAUCACUGGAUAGUCCAGGGUGUAAGGUGGGCGUGCUACUUGCACAAGUUAAUAGGUCAAGUUUCUAAUUUUGGAGAUAGAGGGGAGCCAGUAAGGGUUGGGAAGAGGCAUGCAGAGCCUAAAUUUAGGAAAUGGGCUUUUCUAGGUGGUAGAGAUGUGAGCAUGAUUUUAGGUCAAAGAAAAAGAACCUGCAUAACUAUGGAAUAUAUGAAGAGUUAAGUUUGAGAUGAUAUUUCUCAGGGAAAAAUAGUGGAGACAGGGUAGAAGACUGAGUCAAGAGUAGGUGGAGUACUGAUUAUAGGAAAGAAAGCUCACUUUCUGAGACCAUAAGGAAGGAGAGAAGAGAGCAGAAGAAGGUAGAAUUUUAAAAUGGAUGAGUGAGAGAGUGUGUGUGUGUCUGUGUAAGACAGGAUAGAAUCAGGACUCAUAACAUCAAAUCCCUCCUCACCCAACACUUACCCAUUUCCCCCCAAACAGGUAUCCAUCUCUGACCACAGGUUGCUCCACUAUACUCCAAGCCAUCAGGAACAAGGAUCAUCCACACCCUAACUGCAGAAGGAAUCUAUGCACAUACCUAAAAUAGCCCAGCGCACCUAAGACAUGACCUUCCUGGGAAGGUGGUAGUGAGCAACACUGUGAUUUUGAGUGCAUUCUUUGAAGGGCAGAGAUACAUAGAUAGAAGGGAGGAGGGGAGAGAGAGAGAGAGAGAAUAUCUUCCAACUGCCAGUUCAUUUCCCAAAUGUCAACAAUAGCCCUGGCCAAAGAUAGGAGUCUGGAACUCAGUCUGGGUCUCCCAUGUGAUUGGUAGAGACCCAUGAAUUUGAGCUAUCACUGUUGCUUCUCAGGGUCUGCAUUAGAAAAUAGCUGAGAUCAGGAGCCAAAGCCAAAAUUCAGAUGAGGCACUCCAAUAUAGGGUGUGGGUAUCCCAAGCUGUGUCUUAACCACUGCCCUAAAUGCCCACACAGGCUUUUUAUUCUCCAAUAAUAAAAAGAAUCAAGCUUGGAGAAGAGUAGUAGCAUACUGACUUCCAGGUGAAGGAUCCUAAAUGCAAUUUAUUCAGACUAAGGGGAAAUUAUUGUUACAUAUGGCCAAACUGGGUGGAGGGCAUGGGUUGAUGAAGCUCCCCUGAGCAACCAGAGUGGAGGGUGCCUUAUUAACGGCAUUGUCUUUGUCUUUCACUUAUUUUUCAUCUUCUCACUUUUUGACUUCUAUCCUGAAAAGUGUGAUAGCUCAUGUUUUUCAGCUUUGCCACUUAAGAACUACAUUUCUUCUCUGAGCUCUAAUUUCAAAAUCUUCAGAGGAGAAUUCUGGCAUAACCUGAUUGGAUCCCCAUCAUUGGUGCUAAUGCCGCUGAGCCUGUAAAUGGUUCAAGGUCAAAUACUGGCCCUGAACCCAUCACUAUGUUAGGAUGGCAAGAUUUCUAACACAGUUUUCAGAAAAAAGGGUCAAGUUCUUACCAUGGUCUGUAGGCCUUACACAAUCAGAUGCCCUGGUAGUUUUUUAACUGUAUCCCCAUUCCUGCCACUGUAAAUCUUACUCUUUCUUGACCACAUCCAACAGGCCUCUGGAUCAGAAUCUUUGCCUCUACUGUUCCACAGAAACACUUUCCCAUUAGAUGCCUGCAUGACUCAGUUCCUCACUUCAAACACAGAAAAAUAGCUUCUCAGAGAUCUUCCCUGACCACUCUAUCCAAGACCCAGCCUGCUGUCCUCUACUCUUCAGCCUCUACUGUCUGUUUUUGUCAUCAAGUUUGGAAAAUGUUCUCUCCACAUGUUCUGGAAUUAUUUUAUCUCCCCCAAGAGAAUGUGAGCCCUGUGAAAAUAGAGAUUCUUGUUUGGUUUACUGAUGCAUCUUCAGCCACUUGAAUGGUGUCCGUCUCUUGCCUCAAGGUGGGAUAACUCUGCAGUCAGAUUUAAAUGACAAAGUCCACUCUCCCCAUAAUCAGCCAAAGAUCACAUUCUUGUUUCACUCCACCCCCUGCCUGUCUCGCUCUCUUCCUUACCAAUGAAUUUCCUGAGAAUAGUACCCCAAGUAAUCAUACACAACUGAAACUCUGUCUCAGGAUCUGUUUCUGGGGAAAGUAACCUGAGACAUUCACGUUCAACUUAAUUGCUAUGUGAAUUAUCUACAGCAAAAUUUAAAAUAAGCGGUUCUACUGAGUACAGCAAGGGCAUAACAAAAUAUCCUAAAACAAAUGGUGGAAAUGCAGCCCGUUUGGGCCGUGAGUUUAGAGGUCUGUGAGGGGAGGAAUACGCUGGAAGAGAAGGGUUGUGCUGUUCUGUGUAAUCAAAUUCUUCAGACCAUUCCUCCUGAGCACGAGAGGCUGAAUUGCAGCUUCUGCUGCAGCAUCUAUAUUGGGAGGGAAAGCCCAGGUUUAAUUAAGGCCAAGGAGUGAAGGAAAUGAAUUUUCAAUAAAGAGGUAAAUGAUAGAGGGGAAUUUGUUUGCUUUAGCAGGGGGGCUCAGAUGGAAGAGAAGAAAGUUUGGAAGAUAGGGGGAAGAUAGAGAAGUAGAACAUGGUACAGAGGUGAGGGUUUGAAAAGGUGUCAAAAAAAUAAAAAAAAAAGAAAAGGUGUUAUAUUUUACAUGUAAGGCUUGACAGGGAAGAUAUGGUAUUACUUCAAAUAAUGUUAAGUCUGAGACUAUUUAAGAUCCUUUCUCAUUUGGGAUUGGGCUAGGCUGAGCUGGAACCUCCUAGUGACUGGCUCACAGCUUCAGGAACAGUCUGUACAGGUAGAUUCUGAGGAGCAGUGGGUCCAUAGGACCAGGCAGGAGAACUAAGACAUCUGCAUUCAGGUACGAUCUUAGUGCAUUUUGCCCUACAUGUUUAAUACAGAUGAUAUAGGUGAGUUUUGUGUGACUAGGGCAUUUACAAAGCCUGCAUUCCAUAUUGUAGUACCUGCAUUCUAGCCUGGGCUCCUUUGGAUCCCAACUUCCUGCUAAUGAGCACUCCAGGAGGUUGCAGGUAAUGACUCAAUUAGUUAGGUCUCUGCCUUCCAUGUGGGAGUUUUGACCUGGCCAAGCACUAGCUGUUGUAAGCAUUUAGGGAAUGAACUAGCCAGCAGUUGGGAGAUCUCUGUCCCUGUCUCUCUGUGUUUAAAAACAAACAAACAAACAAAAAAACCCUCCAAACUUUAAAAUAUAGGAUGUGUGUAUACAUAUAUAUGUAUAUAUACAUAUGUAUAUAUAGAGAGAGAACACAGAGGAAUUAAAAUAUUGUUAGCAUUAGUUUAGCUGCACUAAAUUCAGGUAAUUAUCAAGCCUUCCAAUAAUUCUUCACUUAAAAUCUAGGCUUCACCUCAGAAAGCUAACACUAUUUCUGAAAAUUGGGCAGAAUAUUGUAUACAUGUGUUUUUGAGACUAUUUUGUGGGGAGGAUUUCUAACUUUUAUUAAAUUCUUAGGGGCUCCCAGGAUUCCAAAUGAUUUAAAACCAUUGUUCCAACUUCAGCAAAUGAGCAUGCAUUUCUGUUUUUUUUUUUUUUUUUUUUUUAAGAUUUGAUAUUGUUUGCAUCUCUGGAUAGUCAUGAAAUAUUAGUAUCUGUUGGAGUUUUAAGACAGCUGAAUAUGUACAGAUAUAUCCUAUUAUAUAUGUUUUGGAUAUUAUUAAAUUGAUUUGCAUUCUUUCCUAAUGAUGAUGGGUAGAAACAUUCUAUAAUUGGUAGGCUAAUGAGGAAAAGACUCGAUUUUAAAAUUUCUAAAGGAUGAUCCAUAAAGCAGAUAUCUCAAGGGCGUCCCUGAGACAGGAAAUUGGUUAUGUGUGAUAUAUGGAAGGGCAUUCUCAGGAAACUCUUGAAAGAAGGGAGUGAAGCAAGAAGAGUGGGAAGAAAGAGCUAAAGAGGGAUGUGGCCCUUGACCUGAUUGUGAGGCUAAGCAUCAUUGUAGCUAAAAUCACCCUGCAGGGUGUCCCACUUUGAGAUGAAACGGCCAGGUCUAGUAUCACUGUGCCAGUCAUUAGCCACCUGUUGGAGAUAGAGGGUUAAGUACAGGUGUGAUGGUGGUUGUAACCUCCCCAUAGGCCUAUUCAGUCUGGGGCAAGUCUCUAGAGGAUGUAACAGGUGUAACUCUUUAGCUCACCUCUGGCUGCAACUGUAGGAAUGGGGUAACUGCCUGGUAAAGACAGGAAGAGUUCCCAGUGGUAUCCACUUAAACAUUGAAUUUAUAUAUUUCUUUUUAUGUUCAACUAUACAAUAUUCCAGAAAAUUUGGAAGUCAGUUAAUGAUUCAAUAAGUAUUGAGCAUUAAUUAUGUGUAAGAUAUGUUAAACCUAA